Molecule: ribosomal RNA, 509 nt
Filed under: Glomus sp. PSAMG3
Lineage: Eukaryota; Fungi; Glomeromycota; Glomeromycetes; Glomerales; Glomeraceae
Description: SSU rRNA
Rfam family: Eukaryotic small subunit ribosomal RNA
Source: RNAcentral
AGCAGCCGCGGUAAUUCCAGCUCCAAUAGCGUAUAUUAAAGUUGUUGCAGUUAAAAAGCUCGUAGUUGAAUUUCGGGGUUAGUAGGUUGGUCGUGCCAAUGGUAUGCACUGGCCUCACUGAUUCCUCCUUCUUGAUGAACCUUAAUGCCAUUAAUUUGGUGUUUUGGGGAAUCUGGACUGUUACUUUGAAAAAAUUAGAGUGUUUAAAGCAAGCUAACGCUUGAAUACAUUAGCAUGGAAUAAUGAAAUAGGACGUUCGGUCUUAUUUUGUUGGUUUCUAAGAUUGACGUAAUUGAUUAAUAGGGAUAGUUGGGGGCAUUAGUAUUCAAUUGUCAGAGGUGAAAUUCUUGGAUUUAUUGAAGACUAACUACUGCGAAAGCAUUUGCCAAGGAUGUUUUCAUUAAUCAAGAACGAAAGUUAGGGGAUCGAAGACGAUCAGAUACCGUCGUAGUCUUAACCAUAAACUAUGCCGACUAGGGAUCGGAUGAUGUUAAUUUUUUAAUGACUCA